Molecule: long non-coding RNA, 402 nt
Organism: Zalophus californianus (California sea lion)
Lineage: Eukaryota; Metazoa; Chordata; Mammalia; Carnivora; Otariidae
Exons: 3
Source: RefSeq, a predicted model, not a curated record
GCAGGCUACUUGCCUCGGGGGACACAGAUAGCAAGUGACAGAUGCUGGAAUUUAAAGGGACUAUCACAUCUGGCUGCUGCAGUCACAUUUAAGGCUCCCCGUCACCACCCCCUGCCCAUGGCAGGGUCGGGAGACCUCAGCCUCCAGACUCCACCACAGAGAGAAUACCCAGGAGUGAGAGUUCCAUGCCAUUCAAAGCCAGAUUUUACAUUCCAUGGGAACAUUCGUGAAAAGAACAGCUCUUCAAGAGAAUUAAGCAUGAUUGUGCAAUGACAACUAACGACUGAAGAACAGAAAUACAGGACAAAAGGAGACUGUAACUAUUCUACCCUCUACUGCCACCAUCACCCUGUGCAUACACAUGUGCUGCUAAUACUGUUCCUACCACUAACAAAAACUCAU